UUGGAUCCACCAGCCACAACAAGCCUCGAGGUACACACCAAGAUUCCACCUAGAAUCCAACCGGUUAUCUGAUGCCUCAGCCUGUCUUUGGAAGUAACAGACCACUCUUCGGAAAGUGUCCUGUGCCAAGGGCUGGACGUCAGGAAUCGUGGAGCCGUUCUUGGAGUAGAGAAUUGAGUGACUUUCUCAAGUGCACGUUGACACUCCGAAUGUUUCUGCCAGUAUCAGUGAGGUUCAGUAGGACUCAUGAAUGUCUUUCGAGCCUGGUAUUCUCUAGAAGUGUCUCCAUGCCAGUAUUCUCCAUUGUAGCGGAACAACUCUCAUCAAUAUGUUCGCAUCUCUCUUCAAUUCGUGCAGCCAACUUUUCUGCCAGCUUCUCUUCGUGUCUCCCAUAAAGUCGACUUCAACUGGACUGGGGAAAUCUGAAAGUACCUCGGAGCAUCACCAGUAAGCUGAUGACAGGCAGAUCUUCCACUGUCUGCCCUUUCAGGUUCUGGAAACUUACCCGUGAACUUAGGUCUUUGGGCAGCAGCAUUAUCUCGAACUUACACAGCGUCCCGAACAAAACACCUAAGCCAAACUCCACAAAGGGCGGCAGCCCCUCCAUCACACUGAUCCACCCACAGAAUUCUGCCCAGUUACCUUGGAUCCACCAGCCACAACAAGCCUCGCGGUACACACCAAGAUUCCACCUACAAUCCAACCGGUAACUGCCAUCCCCAAUGGUUGCUGAAUAUUGUCAGUGUUGGGGGGGGUCUGCAUCAAACGAGAGGUUCCUAAGAUAAUGUGAUUCUAUCCACUAGCGUGCCAUUGUCGUUUUAUAUUCCCUCUUUCCUUUGGUUCAGAUCUGUAUAUACAGUAAAAACGGAGGGAAGUGUGUCCAGUUUUAGUUUAUUGUUUCACACGUCUGGAAAAUUUCUAAGAGCUCACAGUACACAGAGACCCCACUAAAGGAAACUCAUGUUUGUGUAAUAUCCAUUCACCCAGAAUACAUAUCCGUCAGUUGCUUUCUGCUGAAACACCCACGCUGUCAGAAAAUGGAUCCAUUUUUUUCAUGGGGGCUGAAAUUCCGAGAAAUGAAACCAAUC
Long non-coding RNA from Camelus dromedarius (Arabian camel), 1088 nucleotides. RefSeq lists it as uncharacterized. Lineage: Eukaryota; Metazoa; Chordata; Mammalia; Artiodactyla; Camelidae. The transcript is spliced from 3 exons. The record is from RefSeq and is a predicted model, not a curated record.